This 715-nucleotide ribosomal RNA is filed under the name uncultured bacterium. RNAcentral describes it as "bacterial SSU rRNA". It matches the Rfam family "Bacterial small subunit ribosomal RNA", at positions 586 to 1304 of the family's 1533-position model. The record is from RNAcentral.
CGUCGGAUGUGAAACUCUGGGGCUUAACCCCAGACCUGCAUUCGAUACGGGCGAGCUUGAGUAUGGUAGGGGAGUCUGGAAUUCCUGGUGUAGCGGUGGAAUGCGCAGAUAUCAGGAGGAACACCAAUGGCGAAGGCAGGACUCUGGGCCAUUACUGACACUGAGGAGCGAAAGCGUGGGGAGCGAACAGGAUCAGAUACCCUGGUAGUCCACGCCGUAAACGGUGGGCACUAGUUGUGGGGACCUUCCACGGUCUCUGCGACGCAGCUAACGCAUUAAGUGCCCCGCCUGGGGAGUACGAUCGCAAGAUUAAAACUCAAAGGAAUUGACGGGGCCCCGCACAAGCAGCGGAGCAUGCGGCUUAAUUCGACGCAACGCGAAGAACCUUACCAAGGCUUGACAUAUACAGGAAUAUGGCAGAGAUGUCAUAGCCGCAAGGUCUGUAUACAGGUGGUGCAUGGUUGUCGUCAGCUCGUGUCGUGAGAUGUUGGGUUAAGUCCCGCAACGAGCGCAACCCUCGUUCUGUGUUGCCAGCAUUUAGUUGGGGACUCACAGGAGACUGCCGGGGUUAACUCGGAGGAAGGUGGGGAUGACGUCAAAUCAUCAUGCCCCUUAUGUCUUGGGCUGCACGCAUGCUACAAUGGCUGGUACAAACGGCUGCAAUACCGCAAGGUGGAGCGAAUCCGAGAAAGCCAGUCUCAGUUCGGAUUGGGGU